GUACCGGGGGGGGGGGGGCCUUUUGUGCGCCCCGCAGCUCCGCGGUUUGGAACCCGGCAUCUGCCCGACGCCGCGGAGCCGGUGGGAGGGGAAGAGAGCCGGGACGCCCAGACUUUGGGGAAUCUUUCUGCGGCCCACAGCACCUAGCUGUGUAUUGAUGGGAAUUUUCGUUCCUGUGAAAUUUCAUUUGGAAAGACUGCAGGUUGGUUUGGAGACUUCACAGAAGAGUUGAUGUCUGAGGGAAGAUCUUCAAAGACAAGUUCCAGGUAGCAGCAGCUUUCCUGUAGUGGAAGAGAGGAGUACUUAACGAGCUAAGUGACACUGCUUUUCAUUUUGCCUCUAAAAGCCCUGUAAUUAAUACUGAAAAUAUCUACUCAGCAGUUUCUCGUAUAUGAAAUAGUGAGAAUAAAAGUUUCUAUUGCAAAUUGGUUUUCCGUACUAAAGAGAUAGAACCUCAUACAAUGUCUGGUACACAAUAGAUGCCCAGUUGGUGUUGCUAACAAAAGGGAUCGGAAACAGAAAGUUAGACACUGAUAUAAGAAGCGCCUUCAUCAGAGUCUGUCAGAUCCAAGUUUUGGGCUGUAACCUGAAAACUGACUCAAAAAUAUGAAGGCAAUUUGCUGAUUGGGUUUAAAUGAUAUUUUAUGCCCUCAUCUGAAAAGAUGGUUGCCCUCAGCUCCUGGAACCACAAACUGCAAAGGAGUCCAGGUGGGUCCGCCAGUCACUAGCUACCUUGAGCUAGUGCCCUGUGCAUGCUCCAGCCUCAGAUUCUUGCAAAGAAAUUGUGAUGCUGCAGCUGUAGCAUUUGGAGAAACUAGCUCCUGAGGAUGUUUAUCUUUGAAAAGCCAUAAUGCUGGAAAACAAUUAGGAAGAACGGAAUAAUAAUUAUGUAUUUCUUAGGUAGAUGAUAUGGUAUAAUGUGCAUGUUGGCUUGGAUCCAUCCCUUGGCUUCUGAUUUUAAAUUUGUGAUGGCAGACUUUUUGUGUGUGCUCGUGGCUGUUAAAGGGGAAUAGUACAUGUACUGUACUAACUUACUGAACACAUACUGUACUUGCGACGAGGGCUAAGCAGUGGAGGUGCAAGUAUGAGAUAAGGCAUGUUGGCUGUUGUUGGAUUUCUCUAGCGCAGUGUCACUGUAUAGGUAACUGGUGUCUGCCAUGAGUUCUGCAUUCUAGGAUAAUAAAUAUAAUAACCUACCCUUUUAAAAACUUUUUGAGACAGGGUUUCUCUGUGUAGCCAUGACUGUCCUAUAACUUUCUUUAUAGAUCAGGCUGGCCUCAAAUUCACAGAGAUCUGCCUGCCUCUGCUUCCCAAGUGCUGGCAUCAAAGGCGUGCGCCAACACCUCCCGACUUAUAACCUGUCUUUUAUCAUUUCCUUAACAAUAUCUUUGUUUAAACAAAGCCACCAUUUAUUGCUGAUACUACUGGACUCAGCUAAUCUCUCCUGUUUUUUGUUUCUCUCCAGAUUUCUGUCUUGUAUGCUCAGAUGGUGCUCAUUCAGAAUGACUCAAUGCAAAUUCUGAAACUUGCAAUUUAGAUGCAGUUCAGUUAGGGAGACACACUAGGCAUGAACUGACUUACUGGUUUGCUUCUCACUUUCUCUUUAUAGAAUACUUAAGUUAUGAACAGGUACAAAUCAUAAACUGUAAACAGCAGUAAAAACUUGACUUCAUGGGACUGGGAUUCUAACUGAGCAUGGCUCUGUGUUUACUCUCCAGGACUGAGGCUAGGAUGUGGGAUUACUUUUUGUUGUUGGAGACAGGGUUUCAUGACAUCCAGGUUGGCCUCAAACUCACUGUGGGGUUAAGGAUGACUUUGAACUCCUGCUUUGAACUCUUUUGAUCCUGCUACCACUCCUUCCCACGUGCUGGGUCACCGGCAUGUGCUACCACAUCCUGCCUCUUGUUCUUGUUAUUUUGUAGUCCACACUGGCUGUAAGCUAGAAGUAGUCCUCUUGCCUCAAUCUCCUGGGUGCUGGAAUUAUUGGUGAGUCACUGUGUAGGACCUAAGGACUAGUUUGGGAUGGAAUUAUUUGUUUUGUGCAGACUGCCAAGAGUGGAAUUCGUAAGUAAUAUGAGAUUAUUUUGAAAAAACAAAAAACAUAUAGAUUGUUUAGUGAAGGCUUAGGCAAAAUAAAACAGUCACAUUUGAGAAACAGUUUGCCUUUUUUUUUCUUUUUUCUGAGACUGUGGUUCACCAUAUAGCCAGGAUGGCUUUGAACUUGCCAUACUUCUUCCUUAGCUUCUGGAAUUACAAGUUUGUGCCAUCAUGCCUGGCUCCAGACAGCUCUUAACCAGUGUAGAAUUUAGCUGGAAGGAUGUCUCACCAUCAGAUAGAUGCCCAUUGAGUUAGACACUGCAUGGAAGUCAAAACAUGGGUUUUCAGCAGGUGGGAUAAGGGACAAACAAAUCUAGACUGAUCUUUUUGAUCUUAUUUAUUUAUUUAAAGAUUUAUUUGUUAUGUAUACAGUGUUCUGCUUGCAUAUAUGUCUGCAGGCCAGAAGAGGGCACCAGAUCUCAUUACGGAUGGUUGUGAGCCACCAUGUGGUUGCUGGGAAUUGAACUCAGGACCUCUGGAAGAGCAGUCAGUGCUCUUAACCUCUGAGACAUCUCUCCAGCCGAUCUUUUUUUAAUGAGGUAUACAUGAUACAUUUGUGAGAAACUCCUAAGGACAACUUUGGGAUUGGAUAUCUUUACCCCCAGUUUCUUCCCAUUGUGUAUUUUUCCAUUUCAAAUGGUCAAAGUAAUGAAAGUCUAGGGAGCACAAUGAGAAUUUCUCUACUAUAGUGAAAAUUAAUGAGGCAGUUCCACUUAAUUUAUCUGCUAGUCCAAAGAGGUUUGUUUUGGGUAAACUUACAGCAAGCAAAGGGAUUGGUUAAGGGAUCCAGGAGAGGUGAGGUGCAGUCCAAAGUGGUUCUCUGGAGAACUCUGACUUGGUCUUCGAUCCAGCAUCCAGGAUCAUGAGGUAGGCAAGAGAGCGAGCACAUUCGCAUCUCAGAUCUUAAGGAGUCCCCGUCUCGGCCAAGUCCUGGGUAGGGGCAGUUACCUAGCAGUUACCUGCUGCCUACUAGGGGCAGUACUGCAGGGGUGAAGCACAGACAACUACCCCUACUCUCCACUGUGUGUAUAAAAAGAUGAGUCAUUUAUAACUUUUGAGAACUUCAUCAGUUGCAUAGUCUUUAUGACUUCCUUUCACUGCCUUUGUACAGAGAACUGUUGCUCCAGAGACACCUGACUUUCCAUGAUGAAAAGAAAAAAGAUUACUUUAUAGCGGGGACAGUAAACUUGUUCGAAUUGUGUAAAACACAGGGUGUGAUGUGUAUUGCUGGGAGACGGUAGUCUAUACCUUUAAUCUCAGCACUCAGGAGUCAGAGGCAGGCCAAUCUCUGUGAGUUUGAGGACAGCCAGGGCUACACAGAAAUUCUGUCUCGAAAAACAAACAAGCAAAAAAAGUUUGAAGGUAAUUUGUUUAAGACUUCUCAGUAAAGUAUUAAUCCUUUUGAUUAAUACCAUAAAUCUUUUCUAAAGAGACGGUGGUAAUUAUACCCUUCUGUUAUGGUUGCUUAUUUUCAGAGGUGCCUUAACAAACUGGAAUGUGUACUAAGGAAUGUGAUGAAGGUAGUACAGACUUACAAGAGAGUGUGAGAUGAGUUUUCGCAGGAAUGCUGUUAUCUUAAAGAAGAAAAGUCUUGGGGAGGGUGGGAACACUGUACAAACUGUUCCUGUAGAGAUAAUGUAGCCUGUUGUAGUAAAAGAGUUACGGAUUUCUUCCGUGUUACUCUGUUUCUAGGGGAAGUAGGUACCACCUGUGCAAGAAAAGGAAAGGAAGCUUUCUUAGAAUUGUCUUGUCUAGAGCUUCUUGUCUUUUCUCCGCUUUUUGUUGAAUUUUGAAGGCCUUUUGUGGAAUUAGAAUGAAAAUUAGUGGGGCUAGUAAUAUAGGAACAUGUGAACCCAUUUUUCUUUCAAGCUUUUAAUCUUGUAGGUUCUACUUUUGAACACAUGUUUGUAGCUAGAGUUUUCCUGCCUGGCCCACAGUCAGGACAAAUCUCUCUCACCUGCCAGUCCCACAGCCGCUCAGACCCAACCAAGUAAACACAGAGACUUACAUUGCUUACAAACUGUAUGGCCGUGGCAGGCUUCUUGCUAACUUUUCUUACAGCUUAAAUUAAUCCAUUUCCAUUAAUCUAUACCUUGCCACAUGGCUCGUGGCUUACCGGCAUCUUCACAUGCUGUUUGUCAUUGUGGCGGCUGGCAGUGUCUCUCUAACUUAGCCUUCCACUUCCCAGCUUUAUUCUCCUCCCUGUCCCGUCUACACUUCCUGCCUAGCCACUGGCCAAUCAGUGAUUUAUUUAUUGACCAAUCAGAGCAACACAUUUGCCAUACAGAACAUCCCACAGCACAUGUUCAAUAGUGUUUUCUUAAAGGUUGCUGGUGUACAGUAAGGAUCUUGAAAUUCUUGAAACUUAUUUAAGUUUUAUAGUAAUAUUUUUUCCACCAGAUGGAAAAAAACCCUGUAAGUAUGUGCUAAUUAAGUUGAAAUUUGAAGAGUAAUUUGAGUUUAUUUUAAUGUUACAGAAUUUACUUAUUUAAAGAGCACCACAUAGAAUUUUAAAAAGUAAAGGCUGUGAACAGUAGUCCUCUGCAAGAGCAGCAAGAGCUUUUGACCACUGAGCCGUCUCUUCCACACUAACUCCAAUUUCUGAUGACCAUAAAAAAGAUUUGAAGCCCUUUUGGCUCCUUCCAUAUUUAUUGUUUUUAGCUAACACAAUAUUCCUAUUCUCUUUUUCCCCAGGUUUGGCUCUUUCCAACUUUUUUACUGUAGGAGGAAGAUAGGAUUUGGCUUUCCUCACUAUCCUCACUUACAUUUUUAAUUGUCUAGUUUUAUUCAUUUGAAAUGUUUUGCUUUAGUGUAUGGAUAAAAUUACUCAGCUUUUAGAUAUUAUCUGUGGCUGAGGUACAAGACAUAUUAGUUUAUAACUGAGUGGGUGUGUGAGUGUGUUUAUUAUGUGAAUGUGCCUGUCUGGAGGCCAUAGGCCAUUGGGAUGCCUGCUCUAUCCACUCUCCACUUUAAUUCUUUGAGACUGACUGAACCUAGAGCUAGGUUAGCAUUCACCAAGCUCCAGGCACCCACUUAUCACCUCCAUCCCCCAGCCCCAGCUGGGGUUACAGGCCUGAGUUACUACACCCAGCUUUUGAAGUGACUUCUGGAGAAUUGAACUGGGGGCUUGUGCAGCAAGUGCUUUUACUCACUGAACCAUCUUUCCCCAGCCCAUGUCAAUUGCAUUACUGGUUUUUGAUAAGUCAUUUCUGGGUAGUGGUUGUAAUCUGCUUUGGCAGUGAUACUUUCUAGGCCUCUGUACAGCUACUUUCUAGGGAUGCUGCUUCUGACUUCAUUCUGAGUUCCUUAUAGCUCUGGGCUCUUAGCUGCCCCUCCACUCUAGUAUUUUCUUGAUUAAGGAUAAAUGGGGAGUCACUUUCGCAAACUGGCUGAAAAUGUCUUCUGCUCUUCAGCUUCAGGGUUGCAGGUGAUGCUGUUCUUUUUUUAUGAUUUAUUUAUUUAUUAUACAGUAUUAUAUAUUAUAUAUUAUACAGUAUUCUUCCUUCAUGCCAGAAGAGUGCACCAGAUCUCAUUCUAGAUGGUUGUGAUCCACCAUGUGGUUGCUGGAAAUUGAACUCAGGACCUCUGGAAGAACAGCCAGUGCCCUUAACCUCUGAGCCAUCUCUGUGUAGCUUUGCGCCUUUCCUGGAACUCACUUGGUAGCCCAGGCUGGCCUCGAACUCACAGAGAUCCGCCUGGCUCUGCCUCCUGAGUGCUGGGAUUAAAGGUGUGCGCCACCACCGCCCUGGCCCGAUGCCAUUCUUACUAUGAUUCUCUGUGCCAUGUUUUCUUCCCUUUUUGAGAGUUUAGUUAGUUAGUUAGUUAGUUAGUUAACCCUUUUUUGUUUUUCUGAGACAGGGUUUCUCUGUGUAACAGCUCUGAAUGUUCUGGAACUCACUUUAUAGAGUAGACUGGCCUUGAACUCGCAAAGAUUCACCUGCCUCUGCCUCCUGAGUGCUGUGAUUAAAGGCAUACGGCCCACCACUGGCUGGGCAUUUUUGUUUUUAAUCUCUGCUGUUCUGAACUGUGUUUGAAAUGUUGACUAUUUUGGUAUAGGUCUUGUGUUCGCUUGUGUUAGGCCUUUUCUUCUUUCCUUUUCAAAUGUAAAACUAAGGAGAUGGCAAGGUGGCUCCGUGGUGAUGGCACUUGUCCUGAGGACUGACAGCCUACCCGAGGUCCCACAUGGUGAGAGAGAACUGAGAGUUCGUUGUCUUCCACUGCCACAUGAUCAAUAAAUAUAUAAAAAUAGGAAACUACUCAUCAGCAGCCAUUCACCAUUAUUUACAGUAAAGUUAACUACACUAUCACAUAACAUUCUAGUAUUAUAAAGUUACUGUUCUGAACUAUUAACCCAGACACUGAAAGAUGAAGUCUACAUGUAAUGAAUGAGUUGAUAAAGAAAAAGCAAGCGGAUCAGUUAUUUAUUUGUUUAUUUUUCAGAUCAGUUACUUAUAUUUAUAUUGUAAAAUGUUUAGCCGUUUAUGUCUGCAGGCUCUAACUUGCUAACACCUCCAACCCCACGUGAUUGCAUUUAUAUAAGCAGUCUUAGAUAUUUCUUGAAUCAUAGCCUUUUAAUACACAAAUUUCAACUUUGUAUAAAGGAAUGUUUCACUUACAAGUCCAUUUAAAUCUCGCUUAGCUAAAUACAACAGCCUGAAUGAGGAUUUGUCUUGCUUUCUUGUCUGGUGGCAAGUUAGUAAUGAUAACACUUUGCAAAUAAAUUACUGUAUUUAUGUGAUGAUAGAAAAAUGAAUUCUGGUGUGGCUGCUUUUAAACUGUUUCACCCAAACUGUAAGAAUCAUAUAUUUAAUAUCAAAUGUUAUGGCUUUAGAGAAAAAGUUAAGCUUAUCAUAAAUGAUUUUGAUACAGAGGAAAUCGGGUUUCCAUUUUGACACUCUUAAAUCUCAUAAAAUAAUUUAAGAAUGGACUCAUGGGAGCUCCAAGAAAACUUUAUUAGAGUUUAAAAGGAAAACUCCUUGGGAAGGCAAGCUGUGAAGGAGGAGAGAAGAAGACCAUGCCAUUUAACUGACAUGGGGUCAGACAUGUGGGAGAGAGACAAGCGGGCACAUAGUAGGGAGCGGGAUUUAGAGAAGUGAGAAAGCCCAGAGUCCUGGGGAAAACCUGUGCUAGGGGAAGCAUGCUUACAAAGGAGAAAGAAGGGAGAAGUCAGGCUGUUCCUCAGUGAUUCAGGAAAGUGGGUGGACUUUGGAAGCUGCUGCAGUAGGGAUGGGAUUCUAGGGAGGAAAAGUACAGCUUCCACCUAGCUCUGCAGCAUGGCUUAAGGUGAGCCUGCUAGGGUGGUCCCCUGGCCCAGGCUCUACUGGAAUGUUAGGUCUCCACAGAUGCAAGUGAUUUCAUUCUCUGGGCCAGAGGAAUCUCCCUUAAUGGGCCUUUCUUAUGAAAGUUUCUUAGGUUUCUCAGAAUGAUGCAUUCUCAUAGAUGUGGACUAUGAACCAUGGUUUUUGUUUUGGUGAAGUAUCAUUUCUUUAAAGAUUAUUUUAAAUUUUAAUUGGACAAAGGUAGGGUGUGUGUGUGUGUGUGUCUGUACGUACAUGGGAGUGGGGGUGCUGUUGGAGGCCAGAGACAUCAGAUCCCCUUGGAGCUGGAGUUACAGGCAGUUGUAAGCCACUUGAUAAGGGUGCUGGGAAUUGAACUUGGUCCUCAACAAAAACAGUAUGUUUUCUUAACCCUUGAGACUUAAUUGCUGAGCCAUCUCUCCAGCUGUUUUGGAACCUGCUGUGUAGAUGCACCAUGCUGGUCUCCAGCUCACAGAGACUCAUCUGCUUUUCCUUCCCUGGGACUGGGGUUAAAGGCAUGUGCCACUGUUAGGCUGGUGAAUACUUUUAAAAUAUUUACUUACAUAAGUAUCUAGACAAACAAAAACUACCAGAGUGGUCCUUCUGCAUACCAGUUAAAAAUAAGUUCUGCCCGGGCGGUGGUGCCUUUAAUCCCAGCACUCGGGAGGCAGAGCCAGGCGGAUCUCUGUGAGUUCAAGUCCAGCCUGGUCUACAAAGUGAGAUCCAGUACAGGCUCCAAAGCCACACAAAGAAACCCUGUCUCGAAAAAAAACAAAAAACAAACAAACAAAAAUAAGUUCUGAUUGAGUAAUGACUAGGGGGUUCCCCAACAUUUAGAAAAUGCUGUUCUUCAAUACAAGGGGGAAUACACUAUGGUAUCAAAUAUUUGAUUUUGUCAAAGGGAGCAACUCCAGAAAGCUUUCAUUUCAUUUACUCUCUUAACUGGUGCUUUUGAUGCAAAACAAAAACAAAGAAAAAUAAAUCUCAACAGCUGUCAGUACUUCCAGAUCCCACAUGCCACACUUGAUAGGUAGAGUGUAGUUCACUGUAGUUACUAUUUUACAACCCAGAUUAGACACGAGCGCAGACACACACACACACACACACACACACACACACACACACACACACGUGUCAGAAAACAGUGCCAGCAGUUAGUGAGCUGAUCUUCUGGACAAGAGUGCCUAGUUAGUCUUGUUACAGUUUGAGGGUAUUCGUCUCUGCCUCCUGCUGGCACCCACCACCCCUCUGAAUGCUUCCAUUUCAUCCACUCCUGUCUGUGGAGACUUUCGCUGAAGCUUCUUGAUUUGUCAGCAGCAUUGCCAUUGAAUGAAAAAGGGAAAUAGAAAAGGAAGGACACGACUGCUCCUAGGUAUGGUGGAGGAGAUUGUUUAUUGUAGAUAUGGGGGAGGGCACAGCAGAGGCAGAGACAUCAGGGAGAGUCCAGAGUGGACAUGACCCUGAGCCUGGCCAUGUGAGGAAAAGGGGAGGAGGGCAAAGGGGAAAGCUAGGAGACCAAGAGGUCAGGAGGAUGGACACAAAGGGCCUGAUAGCCAAAAUGGCUGGAUUAUAUAGGGAGGGCAGUCCAGCCCUUGGGCUGGAGAACUUUAGGAUAGGGGGUGAGGUAUACCAGCUAUACCCUGUAACAGGUAGGGACUGAGGGAUGCUGGGAGAACUUGGUGGCCAGGUCUGCUUUGAUAUGUUAAAUAGGUUCCUCUGUUGUCCUAGGUUUGAGACCUAACAGCUGCAUCAGUUUCAGUAUCCUAUAAAAAUGUUUCUGUGUUACUUUCCUUUACCCUUUUCUUUACUUUCCUUUUUUUUUUUUUUGAGAAUUAAGAAAUGGUUGGUUAACUUCCACAAUCUUGUUUUCUUUGGCUUCCGAAUACUGUCAAUAGUAGAUCCUGCCCCUUCCAAGGAAGUCCCUGGCCCUCCCUUUCACCAGUGUUGACCCAGUGUACAUGCUCUGGAGGCUUUUCCUCUUCAACUGUUCAUCUUUCAUUCUGUCUCUUUCCCAUGUUUUGCAUUGCGGUUACUAGCAGCCAUAUCUUUUUUUAAAAAAUAUUUUUAUUUUAUAAUUAAUUUAAUUUUACAUGUCAGCCACAGAUUCCCCUGCCCUCCCUCCUCCCACCCCCUAGAAGCCGUAUCUUAACCAAUGGACUUGAAGUGUUCACUGCUAAACUUGCUUUGGGCCAUGGCUCCAGCAGUGUUUCUCUAUUAAGUUGAAAAGGUUUUUAAUUAAAAUUCUUUUAAUACUUGAUUUGGGAAUUCUUUUUUAUUUUUUUCAAUUUUUUAUUUAUUUAUUUAUUUAUUUAUUUAUUUAUUUAUUUAUUUAUUUAUUUUAAUGAACUUCAGAGGUGUGUGCUGUCCUCCUUUUGAAAUGAAAAAGCCUGGCUUCCACUAUUCUGGAGUCAGGUUGUGGACAUGAAAUCUGCCGUUCAGUAUUAGGUAUGUCCGAUAGUCAGUUUUUAGCAUGGAGGCCAACAAAUCCCCAGUAUGCUUGUGUCCACAGUCUUUCAUAGAAUUUGUCUAGCGAAAACUUUCCUUCAGACUUUGCUCAGGGCCUAUUGAGGGGGUAGGCUGGUGGCUCUUGAGGGACGGUGCUGGGUUGUGACUCUAGCUGCGUCCAUUCUCAGUUUAUCUUGCUGUGUGUGGGGGGUCCUGUGGUGGGAAUCAGUGUCACCCAUUUGGCUCCUCCCAUUCUGCAGGAGCUCUCUUAUGGCUAACUACAGUCAGCUGCUGCUGGCAUGUUUAUGCUUGCUUGCUUUGUUUUUCAUACAAGGACUCACUGUAUUGUCCAAGCUGGUCUUGAACACCUGGCCUCAGGUGACUUUCCUGCCUUAGCCUCCUGAGAGGCUGUAACUAUAGGCCCUGGCUUGGCAUGUUUAGUUUUUUCUUCUUCCAAAGUUUGCUAUUAAAGAACAGAGUUUGUAGGGGCUCUUCAGUGUUUCUCAUUCCCUUGUUUCUUGUGGACUGAUCUUUUUACUCUGUGCUGUCCUUCCAGUGGGGUAUUGAAGAUCUAAUGAAUACACUGCUGUUCGUUUUGUUCAUCACUGUUACUGCUGUGUAUCAGUUCAUUACUUGAGUAUUGUUUUUUAGAUGUUGCCCUGAGUAUUAUAAGGAUCUUGUGAUUGUGGCUUUCUACGAAAAAACAAACAAACAAAAUAACUAUUGUGCCUUACAUUUACACACACACACACACACACACACACACACACACAGAAGGAGGCUGAUUUUGCACUCUGGAUGGGUGAACAGUCUAAGUACAUAGGUGUCUUGGAACCUACAGUUUGUAGAAUCUUAACCUACUAAAGGCAUCUUAUAUCUGUUUCAGAUUUUAAAUGUGUUUUUGUUUUUGUUUUUUUUUGGGGGGGGCAGGGUUUCUCUGUGUAACAGUCCUAGGUGUCCUGGAACUCAUUUUGUAGACCAGGCCAGCCCCGAACUCGCCUGCCUCUGCCUCCCAAGUCCUGGGAUUAAAGGCAUGUGCUACCACUGCCCGGCUAAAUGUGUAAUUUUUAUAAUGUGAUAUAUGUGAUUUAUUUUAAGUAAAUAACUAGGAUUAGGAUAUACCUAAUGUCAAAUUAACUUUAUUACUUUCUGACAGUAGUAUUAACAACCACAUACAUUUCCGUAGCCUGCUAAAAUAUUUUAAACAGCUUCUCCCUCAGUAGGGAAAAAAAACUAUUAAUAAAUCAACCAGAGGAGCUUUCUUACUCAUCUAGCACAGAUUGGUACUUGAAUUGAACAAAUGACUAUUUGAAAGAUUGAGGCAUAGUUAAGAGCAUACUGGCAGACAUACAUACUCAGUGAGUCAUACCAUCUGGUUACAGUCAUACCUGGGUGGUGGUCAUUAAAACAAAACUCCUGGGGAUCUGUAUAUGACUUAAUUAUACUGCAGAAACAUAUUGGGCUCCACUGGCAGGUUACUUUGGAAAUUAAAGCCAAUUCACUGGCAUACGUGCUUUCAAAACAUCAAUGUUGCACUUACUAAAUGAGUCAAAAAUUGUUGGCCCAAAUUUGGAGACUGAAAAUACGUAUUUUUAGAGUUCAGGGUGGGCAUUGCUUUAGUAUUGGCUUUGAAGAAAAUGAUGUGACUUUUUUUCCCCCCAAUGCUUUCAUCAGAUAGUGUGACUCAUAUCAUUAUAAUGAGCUAUUUUGUAAGCACUGUAUUCAUGUGAUAAGUAGACUAGCAUGAGGAGAAGUGGCAUCAGCUUCCAGGAGUAGUACAUGCUAAGAAUAUGUCAGUUUUGACCCGUUAAGGAUUCUGGCUUUUUUUUUCUUUUUCUUUUUUUCUCCUUUAUUUCUUUGUUUUUGUUGUUUGUUGUUUGUUUUUCAAGACGGGAUUUUACUGUGUAACAGACCUGGCUGGCCUUGAACUCACAGAGAUCCUCCUGCCUCUGCCUCCCAAGUGCUGGAAUCAAAGAUGUUCACCACUGCCCUGACCAGGAUUCUGUUUUUGUUUUUAAGAGAUUACAUUUGGUAGGUAGAGACACAAUCUGCUAGCUGGACAUGGUGCUGCACACCUGUCAUCCCAGCACUUAGGAAAUGGAGGCAGAAGGAGGAUCAGGAGCUUAAGGACAGCAUGCUACAGACCGAGUUGUAGGUGGAGUUGGGCACUGUGUGACCCUGUCUCAGGGAAAACAAGCUCACAACAGUGUAAAUUUCUUCAUAGAGUUCUAAGACACCCCCUCCCCCCCAACACUCUGUGUGUGUGUGUGUUUCCUUGUAACUACCACUACAAUCAGAACAUGGAGGUGUUCCAUCAGCCUGUAAAACUCUUAGGCUUUUUCUCUCUCCCUGACUAGGAUCUGACUUUGGUUCUGAGAACAGCUUUCCGGUUGCUCACUUUUACUCACCAUACCUGUAAGGUUAAGUCAGACUUGCCUGCAGUAGCUUGUCCUUUUCACUCUUUAUUUCACCCUGUUACAUGACUUUUUUUAAAAGCCAUUCCUUGUGUGAGAGGCAAUUAGAUUGUUUCUAAUUUCUGUUGUGUAUGACUAGAGAAGGUGUAAACAGAAGUAGGCAAGUUUGAGUGCAAAUGUAGAUUUAUAUCUCACUUGUGACCUUUACUACAAGGUCAUGUAGUGUGUGUGUGUGUGUGUGUGUGUGUGUGUGUGUGUGUGUGUGUGUGUGUGUGUGUGUUAUCUUUAACAGGCUUGUCCUGGUGUUCUCUUACACUGGUUUUGGAAGCUGCAAAUUCCAUACUUACUAGUCACUGUUGAAACUGUUAUUCAUACUAACAUUCUGUGAUUAAUCAGUAUUUUUAAUUUGAUAAUAUAUAGUUGGAAAUAUGAAAUGCUUUCUCAGGUAUUAUUAUUGCUAAAACCUUUAAAUGUGUCCCCCUUUACUCUUACAGAUUGACAUUGUAUGUUUAAAUUUGCCUGUUUGCUGGGGUCUGUCUGUGUUUAUUCCUUUGCAUCUCAAAAAUUUUGUGUAGCUUUUUUCUUUUUUUGGUUUUUCCAGACAUGGUUUUUCUGUGUAGCCCUGGCUGCUGUGGAAUUCGCUUUGUAGACCAGGUUGGCCUUGAACUCACAGAGAUUUGCCUGUCUCUGGCUCCCGAGUGCUGGGAUUAAAAGGGUGCACCACCACCACACAGCCUGUAGUUUUGUUUUUUAAAGUGUGUAUGAUGUAAGUUUCUUUACUAAAAAGUCUCCUGGGUAAAAACUUUUUUAAAUCUGAAACUACUGCCAUUUUUAUCUUGUUCUUCAGUAAUGGCUUUUCUGGAUCACAGCAGCUAUUUCCUUUACCACGUGAAGAUAAUGUUCUCAUCCCGAUGAAAAGUGCUUAUAAUUUCAUUUAAAGUCUUUGAAAUUUUGACAGAGUGUUUCUAACUGUAGAUUUUAUUUUUCACAGUUUUGUUAAGCUCAUUUAUUGGAUCUGAAAACCUCAGCCAUUGUCUCUUCAGAUGUAUCUUCUUCAUUCCUUUAGCUCUCUAGCUGUGGAACUGGUUUUCGAUGUCUCUGAGGCUUCCUAAUCAUAGCCUCCUUUUUUGUCUUUGUCUUACCUUCUGGUUUAUUUAUCCUUUUUUGCCUUUCUGUCUUCUGGUUCAUUAAUUUUCUGCUCAGGUAUGUUUAUUUUGUUUUUUGUUCUUUUUUAAGAUGGGCUCUCCUUAUGUAGUCCUGGCUGUCCUGGAACUUGCUGUGUAGACCAGGCAGGUCUCCACCUGCCUCUGCCUCUUAAGUGCUGGGAUCAAAGGUGUGCGCCACCACACCCAGGCCUUUGUUCAGAUAUGUUUAAUCUGCUUUUUUAACUGGUUUGCUGAAAAUUUAACUUUCACAUUUAUAAGUUUUCAUUUCAAGAAAUUGGGAUUUGAAAAGUGUCCCAUCUCCCUUCUCACCUCUUCCCCGUCCUGGAGAAAUGGCUCAGCAAUUAUGUGACUGUACUAUUCUUGCAGAGGGCCUGAGUUUGGUUUCCAGCACCUCACGCUGGCCUGGACUCCAGUUCUAGGGAUUCCUGUACCCUAUUCUGGCCUCCUGGCACCUUUACUGGCAUCUACAUACCUCCCAAUCCACACACAUUAUUACAAAUGAACAACAAAACCAAAAGAAUAUCUUGUCUGUCAUACUGUUAGCAUCAAAAGAAGAUAGUAAAUAUACUAAGUGCCUGUGUAGGUGCUUUGUAAGUAUUUUCUUUUACAUUAAUAACUUACAUUUUUCUGGCCAGUUGCUUUGCAUAAUAUAGUUCAUUCUUGGUUAUUUGUUGCUGAUACUGUUUUUUAUUCUUUAAAAUUUUUAAUAUUUAUUUUGUGUAU
Long non-coding RNA from Peromyscus californicus insignis, 14142 nucleotides. RefSeq lists it as uncharacterized. The record is from RefSeq and is a predicted model, not a curated record. The transcript is spliced from 3 exons. NCBI's taxonomy places the organism in Eukaryota, Metazoa, Chordata, Mammalia, Rodentia, Cricetidae.